UACGGAGGGUGCAAGCGUUAUCCGGAUUCACUGGGUUUAAAGGGUGCGUAGGCGGGUAUAUAAGGCAGUGGGGAAAGCUCCGGGCUUAACUUGGAAACUGCCAUUGAUACUGUAUAUCUUGAAUGUCGUUGAGGUUAGCGGAAUGUUGCAUGUAGCGGCGAAAUGCUUAGAUAUGUUACAGAACACCAAUUGUGAAGACAGCUAACUAAGCGAUGAUUGACGCUGAGGCACGAAAGCGUGGGGAGCAAACAGG
This 253-nucleotide ribosomal RNA is filed under the name uncultured bacterium. RNAcentral describes it as "partial 16S ribosomal RNA". It matches the Rfam family "Bacterial small subunit ribosomal RNA", at positions 524 to 776 of the family's 1533-position model. The record is from RNAcentral.